Molecule: ribosomal RNA, 891 nt
Filed under: Streptomyces sp.
Lineage: Bacteria; Bacillati; Actinomycetota; Actinomycetes; Kitasatosporales; Streptomycetaceae
Description: bacterial SSU rRNA
Rfam family: Bacterial small subunit ribosomal RNA
Source: RNAcentral
GCAAGUCGAACGAUGAACCACUUCGGUGGGGAUUAGUGGCGAACGGGUGAGUAACACGUGGGCAAUCUGCCCUUCACUCUGGGACAAGCCCUGGAAACGGGGUCUAAUACCGGAUAACACUNUCACGGGCAUCUGUGAGGGUUAAAAGCUCCGGCGGUGAAGGAUGAGCCCGCGGCCUAUCAGCUUGUUGGUGAGGUAAUGGCUCACCAAGGCGACGACGGGUAGCCGGCCUGAGAGGGCGACCGGCCACACUGGGACUGAGACACGGCCCAGACUCCUACGGGAGGCAGCAGUGGGGAAUAUUGCACAAUGGGCGAAAGCCUGAUGCAGCGACGCCGCGUGAGGGAUGACGGCCUUCGGGUUGUAAACCUCUUUCAGCAGGGAAGAAGCGAAAGUGACGGUACCUGCAGAAGAAGCGCCGGCUAACUACGUGCCAGCAGCCGCGGUAAUACGUAGGGCGCAAGCGUUGUCCGGAAUUAUUGGGCGUAAAGAGCUCGUAGGCGGCUUGUCACGUCGAUUGUGAAAGCCCGAGGCUUAACCUCGGGUCUGCAGUCGAUACGGGCUAGCUAGAGUGUGGUAGGGGAGAUCGGAAUUCCUGGUGUAGCGGUGAAAUGCGCAGAUAUCAGGAGGAACACCGGUGGCGAAGGCGGAUCUCUGGGCCAUUACUGACGCUGAGGAGCGAAAGCGUGGGGAGCGAACAGGAUUAGAUACCCUGGUAGUCCACGCCGUAAACGGUGGGAACUAGGUGUUGGCGACAUUCCACGUCGUCGGUGCCGCAGCUAACGCAUUAAGUUCCCCGCCUGGGGAGUACGGCCGCAAGGCUAAACUCAAAGGAAUUGACGGGGGCCCGCACAAGCGGCGGAGCAUGUGGCUUAAUUCGACGCAACGCGA